CCUACGGGAGGCAGCAGUAGGGAAUUUUCGGCAAUGGGGGGAACCCUGACCGAGCAACGCAGCGUGAACGAAGAAGUUAUUCGUAAUGUAAAGUUCUUUUAACAGGGAAGAAAGAGAAAUUUGGCGGUACCUGAAGAAUAAGCUCCGGCUAACUACGUGCCAGCAGCCGCGGUAAUACGUAGGGAUCGAGCGUUAUACGGAAUUAUUGGGCGAAAGGGGUGCGUAGAUGGCAUAGAAAGUCGUUUGUAAAAAUGCUGGGCUCAACCCAGUAGGGCAAAAGAUACUGGAAAACUAGAGUAUGACAGAGGCAAGUGGAACUACAUGUGUAGCGGUAAAAUGCGUAAAUAUAUGUAAGAACACCAGUGGCGAAGGCGGCUUGCUGGGUCGAUACUGACAUUGAGGCACGAAAGCGUGGGGAGCAAACAGGAUUAGAUACCCUUGUAGUC
Molecule: ribosomal RNA, 446 nt
Filed under: uncultured bacterium
Lineage: Bacteria
Description: partial 16S ribosomal RNA
Rfam family: Bacterial small subunit ribosomal RNA
Source: RNAcentral